Molecule: ribosomal RNA, 348 nt
Filed under: uncultured bacterium
Lineage: Bacteria
Description: partial 16S ribosomal RNA
Rfam family: Bacterial small subunit ribosomal RNA
Source: RNAcentral
CCUACGGGCGGCAGCAGUGAGGAAUAUUGGUCAAUGGGCGCGAGCCUGAACCAGCCAAGUAGCGUGAAGGAUGACUGCCCUACGGGUUGUAAACUUCUUUUAUAAAGGAAUAAAGUGAGGCACGUGUGCCUUUUUGUAUGUACUUUAUGAAUAAGGAUCGGCUAACUCCGAGCCAGCAGCGGCGGUAAUACGGAGGAUCCGAGCGUUAUCCGGAUUUAUUGGGUUUAAAGGGAGCGUAGAUGGGUUGUUAAGUCAGUUGGGAAAGUUUGCGGCUCAACCGUAAAAUUGCAAUUGUUACUGGCAGUGUUGAGUACAGUUGAGGUAGGCGGAAGUCGUGGUGGAGCGGUG